This 998-nucleotide long non-coding RNA is filed under the name Taeniopygia guttata (zebra finch). RNAcentral's name for it is "lncRNA (ENSTGUG00000022540.1)". The record is from RNAcentral. Lineage: Eukaryota; Metazoa; Chordata; Aves; Passeriformes; Estrildidae.
GUCACAAUCCAAGAGGAAGGCAGGUGACUUCUGCUGCCAUCACAUCCCCCAGUGAUGUCUCUGUGGAGGAAGGCAGAGUGCAUUGCACAGUGUGCUGCAGAGAGGAGAGGCACGGCUCCGUGCCUGCAGUCCAAACGCCAGGAUCCGUGCCUGAUGCCUCCCAACGGCAGCAGUCUCGGGGCAGUCUGGCAGAUGUCCAUCAGAGUGGCAGAUGUCCAUCAGAGUGGCAGAUGUCCAUCAGAGUGGCAGAUGUCCAUCAGAGGCUCUCACCCUCCUCUGGCAUUGCUCCUUCACCACCCAGCCAUGCAGCGCCGUCAUGCAGGGAGUUCUGCCAUCUGAAGACGGAUCAUUCAUUGUGCUGAGGAAACGACAGCCACCAGAGGAGAACCUGGAUGAUCUAACCAGUCGAGUCACCGAAUCACAAAAAGUUUUGGAAGGGAUCUCUGGAGAUCAUUUGUGCAAACUGCCGACACAAAGCAAGACUAUCACUGGCAUUGCAGCGGUGGUUGGAGGCACCAGCUGUUUCAGCUUCAGUUUCUGUGCAUGUGGAACAGGGGUGACACCACACUGGGGAAGAUGAUUACCUGUUUGGUGAAGCAUCUGGAGAUCAACAGGCAACAAGCACUGCCUUAGCUUGAAGGACAUACAAGACUAUUCAAAGCUGCUGGCAGUCAAGGAUAAGAAUUCUGUUUUUCCUGGCCUUUGUAUGAGGCUUGUGGAUUCAUGUUUUAGGCACAAGAAUGCUGAAUGUGUUCAUAUAUAAUAUUUCUAAACACAACUUGUAGAAAAAGAUAUAACCAUAUUAGUACAUAGGCCUCGAAGAGGGGAUGAUACAGCCCUAAAUAUUCAUCUGUUUCCCAGUAGAUUUAAAACCAGUGGCUGCCUGGAAGCUAUUCCUGAUGUGAUACUGGCUGUCAUAUUUGUUUACUUAAACUGAAUGAUGUCAGAAUAAAGAGAGCUUCUUUGCUCCUUUAUAGUAGCUUCCAUGUUUCAGACUG